UGGAACAAAGAGCAUAUUAAAUUAGUCCCAAUGCAGCCAUGCAUCCAGGGGGCCCUUGAUUAAUGUUAAUUGGUGAUGACAGCAUCUCUGUCGUGUAAAUUAAGAAUGGCACAAACAAGACACAGUGGAACAUAGAACAAAAGUCAUCUGCAGGAAGGCAGCCCAUCUUACAGAGUAAGAAAGGCACAACUUUGGUUGUGCACACAGCUUUGUUACCACAAAAUGCUAAGGUGAGAUCAGCAAAAGCAAGUGUGUAGAAUGUAGCCUGCCUGCUAAACAAGCGCAAUGAUCACUGCAGAAGAGCUCUGCUGAGCAGGGAGUAAAUGACAGGAAAACCAAACAGCAGAUUGUAAAAAUAACUCAGUCACAUCCCAGGCUUGCUAGAGAAGUAUCAUAAAGACUUAAGGAAGAAGAUUUUACUUUGCUAUUGUUAAACAAAAGCCUACCCAAGUUUAAGAGGCAAAGAUAUAGGAAUGGGAAAAAAAAAAGUGACUACCUUAGUAAAUGAGUUUUGUAGCCUGUGUUUUACCAGCUCUUAUCUUCUCUGCUACUGCAGGAAACAGUACCCAGUACCCUACAAAGCUCCACCCAUGUUUUGGGGAGUCCCUAGGAGGUAUUUCACAUGUGCUCGCAGCAACCACAUAGCGUAUGCCGGGCAGCACUGCCCCUUGUUCCAAUAGCCAUGCAUCUGUAGGUGUCACUCUUGCUGCUGGCUAUCACAGCCACUUUAGCUUGGUACUGAGUCUUCACUGGGCACAGCAACUGGGUACAGCCACUCCUCAAACUGCCUGGCAUUGGUGGUAAUCUAUGGCAAAGCACCUCUCCUUUUUGCGUUACCCUCUUUGAAGUGAGUAACACUAUGUCUUAGAGAGCCUUCUUUUCAUUUGUGUUUUAGCCUUUCUCAUCGCCAAAGGGCUCAAAAUGAAGUCCGUGGAGUCUAAGCCAAAAAGUAAUUCCUCAAGUGACAGAUCUCAUGCUAUGCUUCUCUCUUCCACUAGCUAAGGCCCUCUUACUGGGACAGUGGUAUCACACCUGGCUCACUCUUCCCUUUGUUGAUUUCUCUAUUUCUCAUAGGAAUAGAUUUCUGUCUAUUGCUCGUGAGAGACUGAAUUUGCACAACCUAUAUGAAGGGCAUUUUGGCAAUUUGAUCCAGGAGUUCCUCUUCUAUAAAUUUAUCUUACAGAUAGACUCACACAUAUGUGAAAAAAAAUAUUCAUUUAAAGUUGUUUAAUGUACUGUUUCUAGUUACAAAAGGUUGAAAACUACCUAAAUGUCCAUUUAGAGAGAACUAGUCAAAUACAUUACGGUUCAUCCAAAUUCAAAGAGUAGCGCAGGUUGUUCUGCUCCUUUGGGCCUUCUGAUCCUGCAUGGAUAUGUUAGGUCCAGCUAGGAAAACAGACCCUACACAAGGCAUUUCAACAAAGAGAACUUAAUAUAAGCUAUUGGUUCAUUAGCUAUUGAAGAACUUAAAGCCAAAAGGAUAAAGAAGAGGAACUCCAGGAAGCAGCUCAUACUGUAAGGCUGAGAGAACAAAAGGAAAAUGUUGAGGUUACUAGAAUGCGGAGGUUUGUAGGAGAGGCCUCCUGGAGUUGGUCAGACCGCUGAGAAAGGGCCACUGCCCCACUGGUGGGGUGCCUCUGAGGGGACAAAAUGAGACUCUCUGGGAACGUCUGGAAAAGAGACAAGCUGGAGACUGCAAUGAACUGCCACUGUGGGGUAGAAGAUCACUGUUCAGGUGCUGCGGGGAGGAACAGCAAACAAAACAGAGCAUCCCAGUCUUUCCCUAGCUUCCUUUCUUGGCAAACAUAACAGGGAGCUGGCCAUGUGAUUUGCACAGUCUGAAGGGUGAGACUGGAACUGACAUGCAACAGCUUAUUAACUUGCACACUUCCAUACAACCCCUAACAAGCAAGAAGCACCUCUUUAUGAGCUAACAUAGAAGACUCUCAAAGAAAAGAAGCAAGGCUUAGAAGACUGUUUAUGGUAUACCAUCAGUUGAAAUAAAAGAAAGACGAGUGAAUAAAAGAAAAAAAAAACUGUCCUAUGAUGUCGCAUAAUGAUGUCAUUCACAGGCACUUUCUCCCUCACUCAUGAGUCCAACUCCAUUAGCGGCAGCUAUAAAGAAAAGAGCAUUUUAUUCAGUUUACUGCUGAAUCCAAGCCAGAUGUUCCUUGAGAAGUUUCAACUAACAUUGCUGAAGAUCGGUUCCCAAAAAGGUAUUAGCUGAUUUUUCCUCCUAUGAAUGAAUUUCUGAUUGCACAACUAAAAAAAAUGACAAUUAAAUCCAUGGAUUCUGUCUGAGAAGCAAAAUUGCUGAUACUUCACAUUAAUGUCAGUAAGAAUCGAAUAAAUAGGUUCUAUGAUUAAGACUUAGCAAUGAGCCAAGUGCAAUUUGCCCUCCAGACUUUUAGCCGUGAGAUGCCUUUGUUGACAAGGGAGUGUCUGGCUUUUGAAUCAGUGGGGCACCUUUUGGAGGGACUCCAGGUUCUCUUGACAACAGGACUUUUUUUUUUUCUCUCUUUUUGGUGAGCCGAAAGGACUCCUCACCAUACAAGGCCACGGCUGAGUAAAGUAAUUCUCAGUAAGGCAUAAACCACUGGCAAGCCUCACAUACCAUAAUAAUAAUGUUGUACUGCAGCUGCACAAGGUCCAGGGAAUACAUUUGGGGCACAAAAUUUCUUUCAUUUUAAUACCUUCACUGUAUGAUUCUGUUCUAAGAAUUCCCUUUCCUUUUCUUCAUUGAUUAUUUAUUGUCCUAAAUCACCAUCUCUUUGAAAAGUCCUCACAGGGACGCAGAUAUUUUCCAGAAUUGCUAAUUGCUGAUUUGAAAGCAUGAAUUCUCUCAUCUCAUCAAAUCGGAUUCUGUGUCUUAAGGUCAGAUCAGCCUUUCUAAGAAUCUUGUAAAUCUCUACCUUUA
RNAcentral lists this long non-coding RNA (2917 nucleotides) under Homo sapiens (human). RNAcentral's name for it is "HSALNT0368986". Lineage: Eukaryota; Metazoa; Chordata; Mammalia; Primates; Hominidae. The record is from RNAcentral.